RNAcentral lists this long non-coding RNA (694 nucleotides) under Phoenix dactylifera (date palm). Its description in RNAcentral is "long non-coding RNA (PDAC_LNC017389)". Lineage: Eukaryota; Viridiplantae; Streptophyta; Magnoliopsida; Arecales; Arecaceae. The record is from RNAcentral.
UUUAAUGGUCUACAGUAUUCUACCUGGGGAGCCACAGAGAAGUAUCAUUUCUUUUUCUUUGGUCAGAUGUGUGGGUUUUAGCAUGGUAAAGGGAUGGAGAAAAUGUCGGUGUUGCAUUUAGUUUCUAGAUCUUCUAUUGAUUAUGAUUCAAUAUCUUAUAAAAUGUCUCCAACAAUCUGUAUCUGUAUAUGAAUCCUUAAAUUCAUUCAUAAUCUGUGAUGAAUCUCUAGCAUUGAUGUAUAUUAAUUUACAUGCAGACUAGUUGAAUUGUUACCCGAAUCUGCUUUUUGGGGAAAAAAUGCUUUAUCAACAUGGGUUGUGAAGUUUCGGUUUUGUGUAAUUAGUGGCUAAUUAGAUUGAAGAUUGUAACUUGAUUUUUGACUUUUGUUAAUUAAGUUCCACCUGGUUGUGCAGUAACACGAUCCACAUCCCUAUUGACUUCUGCUGCUGCUGCCAAGUACUGGUAGAAUGUGCAAUAAAGGUUUUGCUGCAGUGCUUAUUUGGAGUCCUCAAGGUCAGGAGGUUGGAGCACCGACGGCUCCCAUAUUGAUUUUGUGGACUGUUUUUUCGUGGUGUUGAUUGAAGAAAUCAAAAAACAGGGCAUGAUUUAAGCUUGAUGACCAAUUUUCAUUUCAUAAAUGUGGGAAGAGUUUAUGUACUAGGACAGAAGAGUAGGAAUCAGUCGAUUUGAAAG